GCAGAGUCCUUGUCCGGUCCCUGUCCUGCCACCGGCGGCGCACUUCCCGUCUUCCUUCGCCAGCCUUCUGUGCCCAGCUGCUGGGAGCACUACAUUUCCCAGUGUACCUUUUGGUGAAGAGGCCGGGAGAGUGUGAUGAGUGCUGUCAGUAUUGGCAUGAGAAGCUUCUUCUGGUAGUCGUUAAAGAUCCACUGCAGAGAUCUCCUAACUGGUCAAAGUGCUGAGAAGAAGUGACUCAGCCCUAACAUGGGAAUGCCCAUCUUACCCCACCCAAGGCUCGGGGAACAUUGUGGAAGAAACACUAGGAAGAAUAUAAAACCAAAGGAAGAGUGCCCUGUUAUGAAGCCCUGGACGAAUCAGGAACUCACAGCAAUCCUAUGCUCCAGUCUCCAAACGCUGGGAUUACAAACCUAAACUACCACAGAAGGCUCAUCUCACACCCCCUUCAGGGUUUCACCUUUUCAGAUCAGUCUGUUGGAUUGAACCUGGAGCCUUCCAUGCAAUAAGCAAGCACUCUACCAUGAAGCCUCUAACAACCCAGGUCCAAUUUUGAUUUUGUAUGUAUACCUACGAAGUUU
Long non-coding RNA from Alexandromys fortis (reed vole), 578 nucleotides. RefSeq lists it as uncharacterized. Lineage: Eukaryota; Metazoa; Chordata; Mammalia; Rodentia; Cricetidae. The transcript is spliced from 3 exons. The record is from RefSeq and is a predicted model, not a curated record.